UACGUAGGCAGCGAGCGUUGUUCGGAAUCACUGGGCUUACAGAGUUCGUAGGCGGUCUGGAAAGUUGGGUGUGAAAUCCCUCGGCUCAACCGAGGAACUGCGCUUGAAACUACCAGACUCGAGGGAGAUAGAGGAAAGCGGAACUGAUGGUGGAGCGGUGAAAUGCGUUGAUAUCAUCAGGAACACCGGUGGCGAAGGCGGCUUUCUGGGUCUUACCUGACGCUGAGGAACGAAAGCUAGGGGAGCGAACGGG
RNAcentral lists this ribosomal RNA (253 nucleotides) under uncultured bacterium. RNAcentral's name for it is "partial 16S ribosomal RNA". It matches the Rfam family "Bacterial small subunit ribosomal RNA", at positions 524 to 776 of the family's 1533-position model. The record is from RNAcentral.